Molecule: long non-coding RNA, 250 nt
Organism: Salvelinus sp. IW2-2015
Lineage: Eukaryota; Metazoa; Chordata; Actinopteri; Salmoniformes; Salmonidae
Source: RefSeq, a predicted model, not a curated record
CCAGAGCGGGGAUGGUGAAAGCUACUGCCGGAAUGGAGGUGGUGACAGCUGCCUGAGUUGCCUUGGUGACACCUGCUGCCGGAGCUGCGUUGGUGACAGCUGCCGGAGUGGUGGUGGUGACAGCUGCCUCCAGAGUGGAGGUGGUGACAGCUGCUAAAGGAGUGGUGGUGGUGACAGCUGCUAAAGGAGUGUGGUGGUGACAGCUGCCUCCAGAGUGGAGGUGGUGACAGCUGCAGGAGUGGUGGUGGUG